AUCUCCUCAGAAUCAGGGUUGAGCCCAAUACGUCACCACUGGCUGGAAAGGAUGAGAAGAUUUUCCGGUUUGGCAGUCAUAAGUGGUACGGUGCCGGAAAGAGAGCAAGGAAAACACACUGGCUUCUUCAACAAGUCCAGGGUGGUGAUGUCAUUUACACGCCAACUCACCAGACCAUGCUCGACAUGAUUAGGGCUUUGGGGACGUGCCGGUUCAACGUUCCAGCAGGUACAACGCUGCAAUUCCCUGCCCCCUCCCGUACCGGCCCAUGGGUUCGCAUCUUGGCCGGCGGUUGGUGUCCUGGCAAGAACUCCUUCCUGGAUGAAGCAGCGUAUUGCAAUCACCUUGAUGUCUUGAGGCUUCUCAGUAAAACAACUCUCACUUGCCUAGGGGACUUCAAACAACUCCACCCUGUGGGUUUUGACUCCCAUUGCUAUGUAUUUGACAUCAUGCCUCAGACCCAAUUAAAGACCAUCUGGAGGUUCGGGCAGAAUAUCUGUGAUGCCGUUCAACCAGAUUACAGGGACAAACUUAUGUCCAUGGUCAACACGACCCGUGUGACCUACGUGGAAAAACCUGUCAGGUAUGGGCAAGUCCUCACCCCCUACCACAGGGACCGAGAGGACGGCGCCAUUACUAUCGACUCCAGUCAAGGCGCCACAUUUGAUGUGGUUACACUGCAUUUGCCCACUAAAGAUUCACUCAACAGGCAAAGAGCUCUUGUUGCUAUCACCAGGGCCAGACAUGCUAUCUCCGUGUAUGACCCACACAGGCAAUUGCAGAGCAUGUUUGAUCUUCCCGCGAAAGGCACACCCGUCAACCUCGCAGUGCACCGCGACGAACAGCUGAUCGUAUUAGACAGAAACAACAGAGAAAUCACGGUUGCUCAGGCUC
Molecule: small RNA, 894 nt
Filed under: Porcine reproductive and respiratory syndrome virus
Lineage: Riboviria; Orthornavirae; Pisuviricota; Pisoniviricetes; Nidovirales; Arteriviridae
Description: defective interfering RNA
Source: RNAcentral